AAGGUGGUGUGUACUUGGGCCUUGUAGUUGGGCCUAAGUGAUUUAUAAUUGAUUUUGUGGGCUGGGUGAAGUCCUAGCUUACUUAUCUUUUAGAGUGGAGGGCAUUGCAUGAGAUUGUUUUUGACAGAACAGAUCAUCUCCAAUCCAGUCAGAAACGACGACAAAACUUCGACAAGUGCUGAUCCAAUCAACUCCGCUGAGUGACAUUCUCGCUCAAAUUGGAGCUUCUUUCAUCAGCUCGGAACAAUCAGACUUAGAGGAAGAACAGGUUCAAUUAGGAGAUCGCCAGAAGCCAGAAGAUCCUCCGCAGGAGUACUCUGUAGACCGAGCAGAAGAAGCCGAAGCCUAGUCAUUUCUUUUAUCAGCUGUUAGUCCUUAGUUUACUUUUCUAGCAUUCCUAUUUCCGCCUGAUCGUUGUAUUUUAUAUUUUCCAGUAUUUUAUUCAGAUAGCUAGUCUUGUAUAAGGGCAUGUUGACCCGAACAUUAUGCCUGGGAUGAUAUUAUAUUUGUGAUA
Long non-coding RNA from Asparagus officinalis (garden asparagus), 514 nucleotides. RefSeq lists it as uncharacterized. Lineage: Eukaryota; Viridiplantae; Streptophyta; Magnoliopsida; Asparagales; Asparagaceae. The record is from RefSeq and is a predicted model, not a curated record. The transcript is spliced from 2 exons.